GCCUGGGUGGCCCAGUUAAGCGUCUGACUUCAGCUCAGAUCAUGAUCUCAGGGUUUGUGGGUUCGAGCCCCACAUCGGGCU
This 81-nucleotide transfer RNA is filed under the name Felis catus (domestic cat). It matches the Rfam family "tRNA". Rfam says of the family: Transfer RNA (tRNA) molecules are approximately 80 nucleotides in length. Their secondary structure includes four short double-helical elements and three loops (D, anti-codon, and T loops). Further hydrogen bonds mediate the characteristic L-shaped molecular structure. tRNAs have two regions of fundamental functional importance: the anti-codon, which is responsible for specific mRNA codon recognition, and the 3' end, to which the tRNAs corresponding amino acid is attached (by aminoacyl-tRNA synthetases). tRNAs cope with the degeneracy of the genetic code in two manners: having more than one tRNA (with a specific anti-codon) for a particular amino acid; and 'wobble' base-pairing, i.e. permitting non-standard base-pairing at the 3rd anti-codon position. The record is from Rfam by way of RNAcentral. Lineage: Eukaryota; Metazoa; Chordata; Mammalia; Carnivora; Felidae.